CUCGGGCAGCGACGACGUGCCUUGCAAGCCUCUUCAGCUGGUCGCCCAAGCGCGUGCUCGCCUUGGUCAUUGUUGGUUUCCUGUGUUGCAUACCUAUCGCGAGGGCAUUAAAUCGGCUACAAACGUCCCGUUUUCCGCCUUGUGCUGCGCCUCUYGGGGUUGCGGUGCGGGGUGGACCAUAAAGCAUCUGCCGUGUUCCACUUCUCUUGCGUGCCAACGCGUGCUCGAGUUGCUGGCCCAUGGUAGCGUGCUCGAUCUCUCGGAUGCGGAAAAUUGAGAGGGCACGAGGCCUUCGGCCCCUAUUUGCCCCGAAACAAAGCGUUCAACGCUUCGUGCGGACGACGACCGAUGCCGUUCUGACCGAGUCCUUGGGCUUGGCUCAUG
RNAcentral lists this unclassified non-coding RNA (384 nucleotides) under Fernandoa sp. 1 SB-2016. Its description in RNAcentral is "partial external transcribed spacer". The record is from RNAcentral. Lineage: Eukaryota; Viridiplantae; Streptophyta; Magnoliopsida; Lamiales; Bignoniaceae.